Corythoichthys intestinalis (scribbled pipefish) is the source of this 3524-nucleotide long non-coding RNA. RefSeq lists it as uncharacterized. Lineage: Eukaryota; Metazoa; Chordata; Actinopteri; Syngnathiformes; Syngnathidae. The record is from RefSeq and is a predicted model, not a curated record. The transcript has 7 exons.
UGGAGUUUUUUAUUUACUGUUAUUUUUGUAUAUUUGUUUACUGUUAUAUGUUAACUUGAUACUGAAAUAGUAGUUUGUUUAGCCUGAGAGGAUUUUUGAAAAAUUUUGGAACUAAUGUUCAAAACAUUUAACUCAUUUGCUCCCAAAAACGUAUAAAUACGUUUUAUUUUUGUUUCAGUGUCCCAAAAACGUAUUUAUACGCCUUUUACGUUUUUUUUUCACAAGACAAAUGUCUAGGUUCUGAUGCAACUUCGCUCCAGAGCACAACGAUCAAAAUCCAUUUUAAAGCAAAAAAAAACUGGCCACUGGAGGGCAGUAGUGCAUUUGGUAAGAACUCAUAACGGACCAUGAAAGGAAAUGAAUAAAGAGAAAUAGUCAGGAAACGGAAGUUGGAAGAAGCGUGAGGAAAAAUGUGGAGAACGAUGUAAAACACAAGGUACAUGCCCCACCCAAGUUCCCUAGGUGAAUUCUGUUAUGAGGUAGUGGUCACUACAAAAGAAAGAUUCAAAAAAAUAUCUUGAUGAGAGAGGCGGUAAUGACCAAGUUCCCUAGGUGAAUUCUGUUAUGAGGUAGUGGUCACUACAAAAGAAAGAUUCAAAAAAAUAUCUUGAUGAGAGAGGCGGUAAUGACGGAAGAAUUUACCCCGUCUGCCGAUAAAGCCGCAGCCACAACAGCGUCAUCUCUCUGUUCAAUAGUUUGGUUAUGUGUAAAUAAAUUGUUACCUUCCUAACAAAAGCUCUAUUUGUCCUGUUGUUUAUGUUAUUUUGUAGAAAGAAAACAUUAUUCAGAUGUUUGGGAUGUCACAAAAGCAAGUAAUAGCCGUAUUAAAGUUAUGUUUGAAAUUUUUGCCUUUACAAAAAGCUCAUUUUCUCCGUUUUUUCAUCAGAAAUUGGAAAAUUGCUCAAACUAAGCUAUUUUCUAAUGCUGAUUUCUAAAGAAUGGAAAAAGAUCUGAACUACCUUUUUUCCUGCUGAAAGAAGAGUAAUCUUUCUUUUGGUGGGUUCCAUGUUUAUAUAGCAAUAGAACAGAACUUUCUGUGGGCCUUGCAAAAUCAGUCAAAAUCCAGUAAAACGGCCGGGAGCGAAGGGGGUUGCUCCGGUAAAAAUGGCUGGGAGUGAAUGAGUUAAAAAAAAAAAAAAAAGGAGGGGUGUGCAUCAAUAAUAAUUUUAUAAUCGAAUCGAAGCCUCUGAAUUGUAAUCGUAAUCGAAUCGUUAGGUGCCCAAAGAUUCCCAUCUCCAGUUAAAUCCCGCGGUAUUCCCGGUGUUUUGGAGUGUGUGAAAGGGGCUUUAGAUCAUCAUUUUUUCCCCCAUUUUUCUGGUAUUUUAUUUUUUUAUGUUCCUUAUCCGAUUACUCAAUUAUUCGAAGUAAGUAGUUCAUCGAUUAAUCGACUACUAAAAUAAUUGAUAGCUGCAGCCCUAGCGGAUAUAUUCUUUCCUGAUUCUAAAACCAAAAUUUACACAGAGUUGUGGAAGGGAAAAUAUCACACCUUUAAUGGGAAGUUGUAAUCUGGACUGAUUUUUAUUGAAAUGGGCGGAUUUCAAAGUAUGAUAAAGCUGGAGACCUUCUUUCCCAUUUGGCAACCCAGUCAGCAGGGACAUUUAUGAUAUAAGCAAGGACCCGUAGGACGGGCUGGGCUUUCGCGACCAGUCAUCACGCUUUCUCGCCUCCGAAUUCCUUCAUUGUGUCUGAAUUACACAAUAACUACCCCCUCGCCACCCCGCAGCCCCGAGACUGCCAGAAAUUUCGGUUGCGGCAGACAUUAUGCAAUGUGUGGCAAAAUCGAAACAGUUUGUUCCGCUUUGUUUGUGUGUAAACAUCGACGUAACAGGCUGAACAGAGACAAUGUGGGCAUUGAUUCUGGUACAUGACAUCAUUGCCUCGCUUACUCAUACACAGGCUUGAUCGACGCCCUAAAAAGAAAGUCCACCUUUGAGAUACACACAACAGAAACUGAAGUGAUGGUGCUUAUAAAGAACUUCCUGUGAGUGUGUACUGUGUACAAUGAAACAUUCUGACGGCCACCAUCGCCCCAACCAGUUUUUGGGUUGCACCACUGUGUCGCAAUCCGUAAACUUAUCACAGGGAACAAGGCCUACGUGACUUUACAUAGCCGAUACGUGACCAUAACACUUAAAAACGUUGCACGAUUACAAAUAUUAAGGUUCAUAUUUUAUGCGUAAAAGCAGACAGGCGAAACGUAUAUCAUUACACUGCUCACUAUCAUAUCUUCCCUUUAUUUUGAACAACAAUUAGGUUAAAGUCUGAAAACUGUUACGCUAAAAAUAAAAUGAAUAUUAAACCAAACAAACCCCUUUGCAUACAUUAAAGACAACAAAUCUAACAAAUUAGCCCGCAGAAGCAUUCGGUAGUAAUGGUGUAAAUUCGAUUCUACUGUACUCACAUUUUAGCCAAGACUCGUUUAAAAUAGGUCUCGCUCGUUGUCGUCAGGGCAGAAGUCACACGUCACCGAUGUAUUUGUCCACCCAAACGUGAAGCAAUAUCUGGGUCGCCUAUUUAUUACAAAAAGCAAAGAACCACAUUUUCCUCUUGAUUUUUUUCCCUUUCAAUGUGGCUCAUUCCUGACUCAUGGAUCUGUGUUAGUAGGUCAGGAGUUAAGUGCAUUGGCAGUGUGCCUGCUGAGUGACAGCCAUGUCAGCCAAUCAAAUUCAUGCAUUUUAAAACGCCAGCCAAUGACAAUCGUGAAUAAUGGAGGGCUCAAAUAAGAUAUCAAAUCGUCACAAUGCCAACCACCAGAGCGGCCAUAAAGCAAUCAUAUGAGCUUUUGUUGCUACACCAGGGAGUAUGGUGUGAAGCUUUUUGGAUUUUCAAAAGAUCCUGUUCACCGUAAAUAAUGGGCGAAACAAGUCCAAAAAUCAAGAGACCAUUGGAUGGACGACUAAGUGAGUAAGAGGAAGAAGAAUGAUGAGUACCAUUCCAAGAACACCAUCCCUACUGUGAAGAAUGGAGGUGGCACCGCAAGUCUCUCACAGUGGACAAGCACCUACCAUGAACAUUUCAAACCCGCCCAUCAUUUUCAAUAGGUUUCCUACCUGGUGUUUGUGCUGGCUCAGGAGCGCCAUCUCCAUAUCUUGGUUGGGCGAGCUGCUGAGCUGGCAGCGAGGAGGUGUGUUGGUUUCUGCUUUUUGCUUAUUUCGACACAUGCAAACCAAAAAGAAGAGGCAAGCAAUAACCAAAGGAAUGGCAAUCGCAGGGUUGAAUAUGAGCUCUGCUGCUGCAUUCCAACAGCCUGCUGCCUUGCCAUGAAAGGGCCCUUUGAGAGCUGAGUGGCCGAGACGUGAGUCCGUCUAUUGGGUAACAGAGAAGAUAGACGGAGAGACUUGAAGUUCUACCGUAUUCUGAGAGACCCGAAGAGGAGAGCGAGAUGGACUGCUGUAAUUCGACAAGAAAUCUGGGCACCAAACGAUCACCACAGACUGCAGUAGUCAUUUUAUAUCUGCAGGAUGGUGCUCCAUCGCAUACUUCAUACUCAUACAGUGGGGCAAAUAAGUAUUUAGUCAACCACC